Molecule: ribosomal RNA, 79 nt
Filed under: Hymenobacter sp. CRA2
Lineage: Bacteria; Pseudomonadati; Bacteroidota; Cytophagia; Cytophagales; Hymenobacteraceae
Description: partial 23S ribosomal RNA
Source: RNAcentral
GUUACGGAAGUAACGAAGGGCGCACGGGGGAUGCCUAGGCUCUCAGAGGCGAUGAAGGACGUGAUAAGCUGCGAUAAGG